This 253-nucleotide ribosomal RNA is filed under the name uncultured bacterium. RNAcentral describes it as "partial 16S ribosomal RNA". It matches the Rfam family "Bacterial small subunit ribosomal RNA", at positions 524 to 776 of the family's 1533-position model. The record is from RNAcentral.
UACGUAGGGGGCUAGCGUUGUCCGGAAUCAUUGGGCGUAAAGCGCGCGUAGGCGGCCCGGUAAGUCCGCUGUAAAAGUCAAAGGCUCAACCUUUGAAUGUCAGUGGAUACUGCCGGGCUAGAGUCCGGAAGAGGCGAGUGGAACUCCUGGUGUAGCGGUGGAAUGCGCAGAUAUCAGGAAGAACACCAACGGCGAAGGCAGCUCGCUAGGACGGUACUGACGCUAAGGCGCGAAAGCGUGGGGAGCGAACAGG